UCAGAAAAUUUCGGCCAUCUCUAAAAGA
Molecule: non-coding RNA, 28 nt
Filed under: Bombyx mori (domestic silkworm)
Lineage: Eukaryota; Metazoa; Arthropoda; Insecta; Lepidoptera; Bombycidae
Source: RNAcentral